UACGGGGGGGGCUAGCGUUGUUCGGAAUUACUGGGCGUAAAGGGCGCGUAGGCGGAUAGGUAAGUCCGUGGUGAAAUCCUGCAGCUUAACUGCAGAACUGCCAUGGAUACUAUUUAUCUUGAAUGUCGUGGAGGUUAGCGGAAUAUGUCAUGUAGCGGUGAAAUGCUUAGAUAUGACAUAGAACACCCAUUGCGAAGGCAGCUAACUACGCGAAUAUUGACGCUGAGGCACGAAAGCGUGGGGAUCAAACAGG
RNAcentral lists this ribosomal RNA (253 nucleotides) under uncultured bacterium. Its description in RNAcentral is "partial 16S ribosomal RNA". It matches the Rfam family "Bacterial small subunit ribosomal RNA", at positions 524 to 776 of the family's 1533-position model. The record is from RNAcentral.